GGCCCGUAAUCCGGGUUGCGGACAGUGUCUGGUGGGUAGUUUGACUGGGGCGGUCUCCUCCUAAAGAGUAACGGAGGAGCACGAAGGUUGGCUAAUCCUGGUCGGACAUCAGGAGGUUAGUGCAAUGGCAUAAGCCAGCUUGACUGCGAGCGUGACGGCGCGAGCAGGUGCGAAAGCAGGUCAUAGUGAUCCGGUGGUUCUGAAUGGAAGGGCCAUCGCUCAACGGAUAAAAGGUACUCCGGGGAUAACAGGCUGAUACCGCCCAAGAGUUCAUAUCGACGGCGGUGUUUGGCACCUCGAUGUCGGCUCAUCACAUCCUGGGGCUGAAGUAGGUCCCAAGGGUAUGGCUGUUCGCCAUUUAAAGUGGUACGCGAGCUGGGUUUAGAACGUCGUGAGACAGUUCGGUCCCUAUCUGCCGUGGGCGCUGGAGAACUGAGGGGGGCUGCUCCUAGUACGAGAGGACCGGAGUGGACGCAUCACUGGUGUUCGGGUUGUCAUGCCAAUGGCACUGCCCGGUAGCUAAAUGCGGAAGAGAUAAGUGCUGAAAGCAUCUAAGCACGAAACUUGCCCCGAGAUGAGUUCUCCCUGAGACUUAGAGUCUCCUGAAGGAACGUUGAAGACGACGACGUUGAUAGGCCGGGUGUGUAAGCGCAGCGAUGCGUUGAGCUAACCGGUACUAAUGAACCGUGAGGCUUAACCUU
This 701-nucleotide ribosomal RNA is filed under the name Escherichia coli. Its description in RNAcentral is "partial 23S ribosomal RNA". It matches the Rfam family "Bacterial large subunit ribosomal RNA", at positions 2230 to 2925 of the family's 2925-position model. The record is from RNAcentral. Lineage: Bacteria; Pseudomonadati; Pseudomonadota; Gammaproteobacteria; Enterobacterales; Enterobacteriaceae.